GCGAGAAUAGCUCAGCUGGAUAGAGCUUGGUGCUGAUAGCGCCAAGGUUGCAGCUGCAUAUUCCUGCAUUGCA
Podarcis lilfordi (Lilford's wall lizard) is the source of this 73-nucleotide non-coding RNA. Lineage: Eukaryota; Metazoa; Chordata; Lepidosauria; Squamata; Lacertidae. The record is from the annotation of a GenBank genome assembly.